AUACUCUGGUUUCUCUUCAGACCGUAUAAAUCUUUCGCCUUUUACUAAAGAUUUCCGUGGAGAGGAACAACUCUACCUCGAAUAGCCAAAGCAAUCUUGAGAAAGAAGAAU
Molecule: small nuclear RNA, 111 nt
Filed under: Ovis aries (sheep)
Lineage: Eukaryota; Metazoa; Chordata; Mammalia; Artiodactyla; Bovidae
Description: U5 spliceosomal RNA (multiple genes)
Rfam family: U5 spliceosomal RNA
About the family: U5 RNA is a component of both types of known spliceosome.
Source: RNAcentral